AGGGUUCGAUUCUGGCUCAGGAUGAACGCUAGCUACAGGCUUAACACAUGCAAGUCGAGGGGCACAUGGUCUUAGCUUGCUAAGGCCGAUGGCGACCGGCGCACGGGUGAGUAACACGUAUCCAACCUGCCGUCUACUCUUGGACAGCCUUCUGAAAGGAAGAUUAAUACAAGAUGGCAUCAUGAGUUCACAUGUUCACAUGAUUAAAGGUAUUCCGGUAGACGAUGGGGAUGCGUUCCAUUAGAUAGUAGGCGGGGUAACGGCCCACCUAGUCUUCGAUGGAUAGGGGUUCUGAGAGGAAGGUCCCCCACAUUGGAACUGAGACACGGUCCAA
This 334-nucleotide ribosomal RNA is filed under the name uncultured bacterium. RNAcentral's name for it is "bacterial SSU rRNA". It matches the Rfam family "Bacterial small subunit ribosomal RNA", at positions 8 to 334 of the family's 1533-position model. The record is from RNAcentral.